AAACUAUAAGUUACAUAAUACUUUGGUCGUCAAACACUAAUUUAUUAUAAUUUCUGGCUCAAACUUUAUAAAUUAUUGUAAUCAAAUCCUACAAUCCAAUUUAGUGGACCGACAUGUUAAAUGUGUUGAUGAUAUGGAGUUGACGUGUCAUUUUAAUUAUUAGUUCUCAUUAAUUAUAAUAUUGCUAUAUUUUAUUAACUAAAGUCAAUUACGAAACUUUAUUUUAAUAGUCUAUAAAAUUUGAGCAAAAUUACAAUAAAUUAAAGUUUG
This 270-nucleotide long non-coding RNA is filed under the name Ananas comosus (pineapple). RNAcentral's name for it is "long non-coding RNA (ACOM_LNC006087)". Lineage: Eukaryota; Viridiplantae; Streptophyta; Magnoliopsida; Poales; Bromeliaceae. The record is from RNAcentral.